UACGGGGGGAGCAAGCGUUGUUCGGAUUUACUGGGCGUAAAGGGCGCGUAGGCGGCCACCGCAAGUCACUUGUGAAAUCUCCAGGCUUAACCCGGAAAGGUCAACUGAUACUGCGGGGCUAGAGUGCAGAAGGGGCAACUGGAAUUCUCGGUGUAGCGGUGAAAUGCGUAGAUAUCGAGAGGAACACCUGCGGCGAAGGCGGGUUGCUGGGCUGACACUGACGCUGAGGCGCGAAAGCUAGGGGAGCGAACGGG
This 254-nucleotide ribosomal RNA is filed under the name uncultured bacterium. Its description in RNAcentral is "partial 16S ribosomal RNA". It matches the Rfam family "Bacterial small subunit ribosomal RNA", at positions 524 to 776 of the family's 1533-position model. The record is from RNAcentral.